CUCGCGCUUACUGGAGGUGGUCACAUAAAUAUGUACAACCGAAACGUGCAACUGUUGCUCCAUUGAUUCAUAUUGUUACUGGUAGCAUGUUGUUCUUCUAUGUUAUUAAUUACGGCAAAAUUGUUCGUCAUCGUA
Cinara cedri is the source of this 135-nucleotide non-coding RNA. The record is from the annotation of a GenBank genome assembly. NCBI's taxonomy places the organism in Eukaryota, Metazoa, Arthropoda, Insecta, Hemiptera, Aphididae.